GCGCCUGUAGCUCAGUUGGAUAGAGCAUCUGCCUUCUAAGCAGGUUGUCGGGGGUUCGAGUCUCUCCAGGCGCACCA
Molecule: transfer RNA, 77 nt
Filed under: Desulfosporosinus meridiei
Lineage: Bacteria; Bacillati; Bacillota; Clostridia; Eubacteriales; Desulfitobacteriaceae
Also listed under: 11 other names
Description: tRNA-His
Rfam family: tRNA
About the family: Transfer RNA (tRNA) molecules are approximately 80 nucleotides in length. Their secondary structure includes four short double-helical elements and three loops (D, anti-codon, and T loops).
Source: RNAcentral